Long non-coding RNA from Choloepus didactylus (southern two-toed sloth), 822 nucleotides. RefSeq lists it as uncharacterized. The transcript has 3 exons. The record is from RefSeq and is a predicted model, not a curated record. NCBI's taxonomy places the organism in Eukaryota, Metazoa, Chordata, Mammalia, Pilosa, Megalonychidae.
AUGGGGGUAGCUUGCCGGCCACAAUGCUCUUCUUACAGGGGCUAACUCUGUCGGGAAACAUGGAUUCCUGGGAUCCCAGAUCGGUUGGGCUGGAAAGGACCACGGAAAAGGAACUACCCACAUGUGCCCCUGCCAAGCCCUGAGCGGGGCAUAUUCCUGAACAUUGUCUUGCUUAAUCUUAACUCUGCUUCGAGAGCCUUCUCGUGAACUAUGACGGGAGACGAACAUGAUAUAUUCCUGGAUCGCCGGGCCAUCAUUCUCCUUCACCGGUGCCGUUCCCCUCUGGUGACAAAUUCUCCCCUUCGGCUAGGAACAAAAGAAGGCCAGAAAACUACUAUUCCCAUCGCACCUCAUAAGACCGACUACCAGUCAGGUGUACGCCCCUCUUUCGCCAUCUUGCUUGUAGUCCUCGUUUCUUUUCACCUUUCCAUUGUUCCUGACUAGUAGAAAUGGCAGCGGGAAGAUAGCAGAUGGACUGCGACUCCCGUCAGGUACCACACACGCGGAGGGUUGUGGACAAGAGGGCGUGUGAAUGCCUGGGAAGGAGGUCGGGUAGGGGGGGAGAAGGCCAUCUUGUUUUGUAGUCACCGUUCCCGCUCCUUCUCAAUGUUCCGCAACCGGGAGACCUCGGGGCAACCGGACUACUCAAACUCCCGGCAAGCCUUCGCAUCCGGCUGGCGCUCCCUCCGUCCAUCUUUUUUGUAGUCCCCGCCACCCCAGCGGCCCCUUGUUCCCACGGUAGCACUGGUGUCCGCGGGACUACGACUUCCGUCGUUCCCUGCGCGAGUUCGUCCUGGAAAGUGGAGGUGGUGCGGGCAGGAG